UACGUAGGGGGCUAGCGUUGUCCGGAAUCAUUGGGCGUAAAGCGCGUGUAGGCGGUCCGGUAAGUCCGCUGUGAAAGUCGGGGGCUCAACCCUCGGAUGCCGGUGGAUACUGUCGGGCUUGAGUACGGAAGAGGCGAGUGGAAUUCCUGGUGUAGCGGUGAAAUGCGUAGAUAUCGGGAGGAACACCUGUGGCGAAAGCGGCUCACUGGACCACAACUGACGCUGAGGCACGAAAGCGUGGGGAGCAAACAGG
This 253-nucleotide ribosomal RNA is filed under the name uncultured bacterium. Its description in RNAcentral is "partial 16S ribosomal RNA". It matches the Rfam family "Bacterial small subunit ribosomal RNA", at positions 524 to 776 of the family's 1533-position model. The record is from RNAcentral.